Daphnia carinata is the source of this 2729-nucleotide long non-coding RNA. RefSeq lists it as uncharacterized. Lineage: Eukaryota; Metazoa; Arthropoda; Branchiopoda; Diplostraca; Daphniidae. The transcript is spliced from 9 exons. The record is from RefSeq and is a predicted model, not a curated record.
UGAGUUCGUCAUUGUGAAAACACCAAUGUCGAUUGGAAAUCGCCUAACUCAUUACCACCAAAGAAAAGAAAAGAAAGAAAAAAACAAAAAAAACAAAAAACAAAAAACAACCCACGCCAUGGAACAAAACAGAAAACCACAAUUGCCGGUGCUGAGGGUCUUCAAAUAGAGGACCAGUUGUCUGCCGAAAACCGGCACCACCGGCUCAUGGCAGACGCACCCAACCCACAUCACAUCACAUCACAUCAGCGCCACCUGAUAUCCAUUGGGCAUGGGGCCUCCACAGGGUACUAGGCGUGAGCAUUUCUAGCGACUCGUCCUGAGACUGUUUCUUCUAUAAUUAUUAAAGAAAUCCUGUACAUCUCACCAAUUAAAUUCUGAAAUAACUUAAUGGAUUAAUAUCAAGCAAGGAUCAGCUUCACGAUUUAAAGCCUUCAGCAAUUACAACAAAAAGCCCGUAUUUAAAUUGUUGUCUAAAAUUUCUACAACCAUGACUUUUUCCUAAAACCUAUGAAGUAUGAUGUGCUGACAGGGGAUGAGCAUAAACUAUGCUACACGUGAAAAAUGUGGAAAUGGCCUGCAGAAUGCAUAUGCCAUUUCGCUUACAGAUUUGAAACUUUGUUGCCAAAACGAUACCCACUGUCGGAGAAAUCAUUCAGUUUUUAUGUAGUGAGGUGAUGGUUGGGAUCCCACCUCCAUGGAAGACACAUAUAGUGCUGUGGAUUUUCAAAGAGCUUUUGAUCACAUUGAAACAAACUUUCCUUAUGGCAAUGAAGAUCCUUUGGAUAACGUGGAAUCACAAAUUCCUAGGUAAUUUCCUAGGCAUCUAUGCUUGCAACUGAGAAGGUGAAUACGGUCAUCAAGCUUCUGCCUCCAUGUAUACUGAUGCCUGCUGCUGUUUGGUCAGAGAAACAGAUGUUUAGUUGCAGUUUGUUUUUGGGGCUUUGGUUUGACCUCAUCUAGAUGGAAGCCAAAGAUUGGCCUGUGGAUUUUCAAGGAGCUCUUGAUCACAUCAAAACAGCUGCUCCUUACGCAGAUGAAGAUCUGCUAGAUCAUGUUGAAUUACAACUAGCUUUUAAUACUGUUAUGGAAACGAAUGCCUACAAAUCACUGGGGUUAACUUCAAACUUGAACUUAUAAUUUUUUUGGACGAUUAAGUCGAACAUAUCUCUAAGGUACGGUAACGUUGUAAGAUGGAAGGUCGGUCACUAUUUACUUCAGAAAAACGCUUGUAGCGCAUCACCGUUGGUCAACUAGUAGAGUUCUGCGAAUUUUCCAGAGUGAAGUAUCAUGUUGCUAAAUCAAAUCGGAUACAGUAGCACACGUUUAUAGCCCUUUGCGCGCAUAGCAUUGGCCAACCGGGCAUCAAAAGACAUUUAAAACCUUUCACGUCUCUGAUGUGGCAUCGAUGAACAUCACACAGGGAAUUCCUAGGAUUAAGGAAAUCAUUAACGCCUCAAAGGCACCUGUUAUCUCCACCCAACUAAUUGAUAACGAACCGGAAUAUGCCCGACGAGUAAAUGGAAGUAUUAAAAAAACUAUGCUUGGAGAAUUAAAUUUAGAAAAAUAUUUCCCGUAGUUUUUCACUGUUGUCCUUUUAAGGUGACGGUUUAUUUCGAGGAAGUAUAUUUGCCUGAUGCAUGUUUCGUUGUGAUUAAGUUAGACAUGAACCGAAUCCGCUUGCUGAAACUAAAAGUGGAUGAAAAUUCUAUCCAGUAGAGCCUCUGUACGUGUCAACUAAAAAUAAAACCAGCCUUCAUGAAAGUCAUCAGUGAAACAAGAGUGAUUGUUAAGCCCGUCCUAUCUGCAAAAUCGUCAAUGUGUCAUGUGAUAAAGUUCCUUAAGGAACAAUUGCCUAGGGUCGUUAUAAAGAUACGUUACAAUUUCUGUAACUAUAACUGCUUUUCAACUUGCAUCCUGCUUCAUGGUUAACCAACGGUUAGCCGAGCUGUCAUCAAUAUCCAUGAUACAAGGAAAGUGCCCAGGAUUGUCUUAAGGUUUAUGCAUUAACCUUUCAAAACCAGAGUCAUCUUUUUACAAAUGAAUUUAUUCCAAUUCCAUCUGGAAGACCUUGUCUUGUAGAAUGCAGCAAGGGCAGUGAUGAAAGGAAGCCACUACGAUACGCUUUCAUAGGUUCAGAGAAUUCCAUAUGACAAAAGCUUAAGGGCAACUUUCUCUACAACGAAACGGAGUUGAGGAAGGUUUACUCCUACAUACUCAAAAGGUUCCUUGUUUGGGGCAAUGACCGGAAUAAAGUAUAAUGAUUGGAUACACUACAUGGAAUUUCCCUACUUAUUCACGUUCUCAUUUAUAACGGUAUUAAAUUUUUCAAAAGUUGAAGUGUAUAUCUGGGCUCCCUUCCUUUCCGUAGCCCCGUUUCCCCUUGACUCGUAAUAAGCCCGUAGGGGGUCAUGCCCCUACUGUACGGUAUAUUUAAAAAUAACAUAUACCGAGGUUUGGAGGGCUCUGGCCGGAAAGGGGACGUGGGGGUCCGCGUAGUCCGAUGAUGUGUUCACGGAGGGCGACGUGGCUUCCCACAAAUCCGAAUUAAAGGUUAAUCGCUCCAGUAAAAAUGUUCCAUAUCUUCGGCUCUUCUUCCGGCUUCUCUUAGCCAAUCACCGGGUAAUCUCCCCGGUGGGUCAACAAGGCAGUGUCUCCCCCUGCCUGGGUUGACGGCAACUUUUGAAAGGGCUAUCGUGCCUUUUUAAAGUUGCAAAAAUGAUUCUUAU